UGUGAGAGCAAGAGCCCGGAGAUGGAUUCUGAGACACGAAUCCAGGCCCUACGGGGCGCAGCAGGCGCGAAAACUUUACAAUGCUGGCAACAGCGAUAAGGGAACCUCGAGUGCCAGGUUACAAAUCUGGCUGUCGUGAUGCCUAAAAAGCAUUGCAUAGCAAGGGCCGGGCAAGACCGGUGCCAGCCGCCGCGGUAACACCGGCGGCUCGAGUGGUAACCGUUAUUAUUGGGUCUAAAGGGUCUGUAGCCGGCCGGAUAAGUCUCUUGGGAAAUCUGGCAGCUCAACUGUCAGGCUUUCAGGAGAUACUGUCUGGCUCGAGGCCGGGAGAGGUGAGAGGUACUUCAGGGGUAGGAGUGAAAUCUUGUAAUCCUUGAAGGACCACCAGUGGCGAAGGCGUCUCACCAGAACGGACCUGACGGCAAGGGACGAAAGCUAGGGGCACGAACCGGAUUAGAUACCCGGGUAGUCCUAGCCGUAAACGAUACUCGCUAGGUGUCGGCCACGGUGCGACCGUUGUCGGUGCCGUAGGGAAGCCGUGAAGCGAG
Molecule: ribosomal RNA, 548 nt
Filed under: uncultured archaeon
Lineage: Archaea
Description: bacterial SSU rRNA
Rfam family: Archaeal small subunit ribosomal RNA
Source: RNAcentral